CUCAACAUUUCAUACUUUCUUUGAGAAUGUUCACUUGUUUGCUUUCAGACAAAUUUUAUUUUCUGAUUAUUCACAUGGAAGACUUGAAAAAACUAAAGGGAAUUGGAGAGUAGAGAGAAACCUUCAUAUUUGAGCUGCGAGAAGACUCUCCAUAACCAUUUAAGAGUCUUGGUGGUUUAAAGGAUAUUGGACUUUCAGGUAAG
Long non-coding RNA from Lotus japonicus, 203 nucleotides. RefSeq lists it as uncharacterized. NCBI's taxonomy places the organism in Eukaryota, Viridiplantae, Streptophyta, Magnoliopsida, Fabales, Fabaceae. The record is from RefSeq and is a predicted model, not a curated record. The transcript has 3 exons.